This 507-nucleotide ribosomal RNA is filed under the name uncultured bacterium. RNAcentral's name for it is "partial 16S ribosomal RNA". It matches the Rfam family "Bacterial small subunit ribosomal RNA", at positions 28 to 523 of the family's 1533-position model. The record is from RNAcentral.
GAUGAACGCUAGCGGCAGGCCUAACACAUGCAAGUCGAGGGGCAGCACAGAAACAGCAAUGUUUUGGUGGCGACCGGCGGACGGGUGCGUAACGCGUAUGCAACCUACCUUUAACAGGGGGAUAACGGAGAGAAAUUUCCACUAAUACCCCAUAACAUCGAUCAAGGCAUCUUGAUUGGUUGAAAACUCCGGUGGUUAAAGAUGGGCAUGCGUUGUAUUAGGUAGUUGGUGAGGUAAAGGCUCACCAAGCCUACGAUACAUAGGGGGACUGAGAGGUUAGCCCCCCCCACUGGUACUGAGAUACGGCCCAGACUCCUACGGGAGGCAGCAGCUAAGAAUAUUCCGCAAUGGACGAAAGUCUGACGGAGCGACGCCGCGUGGAUGACGAAGGCCGAAAGGUUGUAAAAUCCUUUUGUUGGGGAAGAAUAAGGCUGGGAGGGAAUGCCCGGCUGAUGACAUGAACCGACGAAUAAGUCCCGGCUAACUACGUGCCAGCCGCCGCUGUAA